AAUGGCUGUCCGUAGUGUGGUC
RNAcentral lists this microRNA (22 nucleotides) under Cavia porcellus (domestic guinea pig). The record is from RNAcentral. Lineage: Eukaryota; Metazoa; Chordata; Mammalia; Rodentia; Caviidae.